AUAAAUAACGGGCGCAUUCUAGUCAUUUUCUUUGCUUAACAAUAACCAAUAGCAAAUAUUUCCAUAACACCAAAGUUUCUCUUUAAGAAAUGUCUCAAUGACCCCUUGCCGUCCCAAGGUGCGAUCGCGGAAUCAAAAGCAUGAUGUAUGAUUGUUGGGAAGAAGCUGGGCGCUGCUACUGGACGUGUAUAAACAAGUUUUAUAGGCAACCCGAC
This 215-nucleotide long non-coding RNA is filed under the name Nicotiana benthamiana. Its description in RNAcentral is "long non-coding RNA (NBEN_LNC038224)". Lineage: Eukaryota; Viridiplantae; Streptophyta; Magnoliopsida; Solanales; Solanaceae. The record is from RNAcentral.